CAAAACAUAAAAUCUCUACAGAAAAAAAUUAAAUGUAAAAAUUAAUUGAAAUUAUAACAAAAACAUAAAUAUAAUAAAAAAAACCAGAUAUUAUUAUUACGUUAAGUGUGCAACCAUUGUGACCACUAGAAAACAGUCUAGCUUGCAUACCAGUGAAAUUUUCACUUAAAAUAAGACACACUUAACAAAAAUUAUAUCCACUGCAACCUUGAAAAAAUUUAUAUGAAGUUUUUGGUUUUGAGAUGAAACAGAACCACAAAAAUUCUUAAAAUACUAGAGACAAAUAUUUG
Molecule: long non-coding RNA, 290 nt
Filed under: Mytilus galloprovincialis (Mediterranean mussel)
Lineage: Eukaryota; Metazoa; Mollusca; Bivalvia; Mytilida; Mytilidae
Source: RNAcentral